Salvelinus sp. IW2-2015 is the source of this 240-nucleotide long non-coding RNA. RefSeq lists it as uncharacterized. The record is from RefSeq and is a predicted model, not a curated record. NCBI's taxonomy places the organism in Eukaryota, Metazoa, Chordata, Actinopteri, Salmoniformes, Salmonidae.
UUCUAUUUCCCCUCUUGUUGAUUUCCGUUCUGACCGGUUCUAUUUCCCCUCCUCUUGAUUUCAGAUUUCAGAUAUACUGACGCCACCUUCACCUUCACUUAUUCCAAAGGCUCCAGAAGGGUGUCCUUCUCUGUGCACGUCUCUGACGACUACCCAGACAACACAUACGUGUCAAAACUCUGAGAACGAGGGAUGAAGUUCUAGUUACCAGGACCCGAUCCCCGUCAUCUUCCACAGAAU